GAUGAACGCUGGCGGCGUGCCUAAUACAUGCAAGUCGAGCGAACAGACGAGGAGCUUGCUCCUCUGACGUGAGCGGCGGACGGGUGAGUAACACGUGGAUAACCUACCUAUAAGACUGGGAUAACUUCGGGAAACCGGAGCUAAUCCCGGAUAAUAUAUUGAACCGCAUGGUUCAAUAGUGAAAGACGGUUUUGCUGUCACUUAUAGAUGGAUCCGCGCCGCAUUAGCUAGUUGGUAAGGUAACGGCUUACCAAGGCAACGAUGCGUAGCCGACCUGAGAGGGUGAUCGGCGGCACUGGAGCGUGGACGCGGUCCAGACGCCUACGGGAGGCAGCAGUAGGGAACCGUCGGCAAUGGGCGAGAGCCUGACGGAGCAACGGCGCGCGAGUGAUGAAGGUCUUCGGAGCGUAAUACUCUGUUAUGAGGGAAGAACAAAUGUGUAAGUAACUAUGCACUGCUUGACGGUACCUAAUCAGAAAGCCACGGCUAACUACGUG
RNAcentral lists this ribosomal RNA (497 nucleotides) under uncultured bacterium. RNAcentral's name for it is "partial 16S ribosomal RNA". It matches the Rfam family "Bacterial small subunit ribosomal RNA", at positions 28 to 507 of the family's 1533-position model. The record is from RNAcentral.